GGGACACGUGGUAUCCUGUCUGAAUAUGGGGGGACCAUCCUCCAAGGCUAAAUACUCCUGACUGACCGAUAGUGAACCAGUACCGUGAGGGAAAGGCGAAAAGAACCCCGGCGAGGGGAGUGAAAAAGAACCUGAAACCGUGUACGUACAAGCAGUGGGAGCACCCUUUGGGGUGUGACUGCGUACCUUUUGUAUAAUGGGUCAGCGACUUAUAUUCUGUAGCAAG
RNAcentral lists this ribosomal RNA (226 nucleotides) under Salmonella enterica. RNAcentral's name for it is "partial 23S ribosomal RNA". It matches the Rfam family "Bacterial large subunit ribosomal RNA", at positions 419 to 644 of the family's 2925-position model. RNAcentral also lists the same sequence under 1 other name. The record is from RNAcentral. Lineage: Bacteria; Pseudomonadati; Pseudomonadota; Gammaproteobacteria; Enterobacterales; Enterobacteriaceae.